This is a long non-coding RNA of Hypanus sabinus (Atlantic stingray), 2448 nucleotides long. RefSeq lists it as uncharacterized. Lineage: Eukaryota; Metazoa; Chordata; Chondrichthyes; Myliobatiformes; Dasyatidae. The record is from RefSeq and is a predicted model, not a curated record. The transcript has 2 exons.
AGAAGAACAGAAAGGCAGAGAGAGCUAUUAACACACACAAAAUGGUGGAGAAACUCAACAGGUCAGGCAGCAUCCAUACAGCAGUAUAAACAGACAGGCACAAGGAUGUAAGAAAAAGGAGGGUUAUGGGUGGUGCAGGAUGGAAGAGUGUGAUUGAUAGUGGAGUAGGUUUACAUAGGUUGCAUAACAUUGUGGGCUGAAGAGCCAAUAUCACGCUGCACUGUUUUAUGUUCAAUGCUCUACUUUUCUGUCAGAUCACCCUUCAUUAUUCUGAAGUUCAGGUCCAGUCUGCUUAAUGUCUCUUCCUACGGCAAGCUGCGCUUCACAGGAAUCAUUCGAUGAACACUAUCACCUCUCAAUAUCUCAUUAACUUCUCCAGUUCUAGUUUAUUUUUUCAUUAAUGCUAAUUUCUUUGAGCUUCUCAUUUACUCUCUAUCUGUAAUCUCUCUGUUUCUUGGUUUUCCUCCUCUGUAAAGGCCAAUGCAAUAUAUUUCUAUGAAAAGCAAAUAAAUGUAGAUCCUGCAAAUCAGAAAUUAAAAAAACAGAAAAUGCUCCAGUUUCUUAGCAUAUCACCUAAUCCAGAGUGUAAAUGUAUCAUUUAUUCUCUCUCCCUCGUCUUCCCUCUCCCUCUCUCUGUUUGUUUAAUCUCUCUGCCAUUUCCUUUCCUUAUUCCCAAUAUAAUUUCUCCUAUCUCUGUAGGGAACUCACAUUAACAUUUGUUUAUAAUUUUCUUUUCAUAUCUUUAGAAACUCAAAUUCUAUGCUUCAGUUAGCCUGGGCUCAUUUUCUGCUUUCUUUUUCCUUAUUAAUACCUUGGGUCUUCGUUGCUGAAUUCUAAAAGUUUCCCAGUCCUCAGCCUUACUGUUUUUUUGGCAACAUUGUAAGCCUUUUCCUUUAAUUUAAUGUUUAUCCUCCUGAUAGCUAUGGUUUGACCACUUUUCCUAAUUGACACCAUAGUUUAUAGGACCAGAUUUAAUAAUUGUAAUUGAUUGGUUCAAAAGAGCACAUUGCAAAUUUUUUGUAAGCUGCUAACACAUAAUUUAUGCAUUGGAAUGAUGAGAUAAGGCAGAGAACAGCCAUUUGUGAAAGCAACCUUAUGCAGUCUGAUAGAGAGGGAUAUAGUUUAUGCAGAAGCAAACAUGCAACUCCACAAAAUCUAAAAAAAUAAAUCAUCCAUAAUAUCACUAAAUAAUCAGAUGUUAAAUGAGAAUCUCAAGCUCCAAUGCUGAACCAGUUAAACUUUUCUGGAAUUUCCAUCGUUUCCACUGGCAUGCUAAAAAUAAAGUCCUGAUUAAUAUCCAAUGACUUGGCCAAGAGACCAUACAACUGAAUUAAUGCAAGCUGUUUACAAAAUGGGAACCAUUUUAUAACUCAGUCCAUUUAAUUAAUUUGCUGUUGCUAAAUUCACACUAAUAUUUUCAUGAAUCCCAAUAAAUCGUAUACAGUGAGAUAUCAAAUGUUUAUAUUAUUUAUGGUUUUGCUACAAAUACACACAAAGAAAUUAAAUCACUUCUAUUAUUUCCUUCAUUCAUAGAGACAUUUUAUUGAACUUCUUAAACCUCACUUACUUGUCCUUCACCUCUAGUAACAAAGGAGUCUGUGGUCUUCUUUGUUACUACUGUAAUUCUAGGGCCAUCCAAUUGGUUUUCCAGCCACUUCACUUUGUCUCUCCUCACCUCCCAGUCUUCUCCCUAAUGUACAAUGCUGCCACAUAACCCUGCCAUAAAUUUCAGUUUUUCUUUAGUUUAAUCCCUGUGUCCCCUCAUGCCUUCUACAAUAUGCACCUUGGCAUGGUUUUUAUUUGAUAAUCCUUAAGACAUUGUAGAUAUUAAAGUUGGUAGUGCUGUUGCUCUGGGAUCCUGGGUGUAAAAUUAACUACUCCAUUUCCAAUGGAAAGUCAACCAGGAAUGUAAGCAAUACUAAAGAGGUGAUGGGAGCAAUUUUUAAAUCAUUUCCAUUGAUGGAUAUCUCCAUUAGAAUUUUUGAUUUGUGUUCCUGAUGUCAAGAUGGACUUUACAAGUCCAGUAUUUUUUGGCUGUUUGCCAUUCUUUGAUUGUGUAUGUUUUUUUUCCCCCAUAGAUUCAAUUCUACUUUAUUAUUCCUAUAACUGUCUGCAAGAAAAUGAUUCUGAUGGCAGUAUAUGGAGCCAAGACUGCAGACUCAGAGGUGGCCCGUCCUGAGGUUGGGGGCCAGCUUAUGUAUUGAAUUGUGAAAUGGGCUUCUUUUGCUGAACAUUGUGGGCAUGCUAUAUUGGCACCAGAAAGUGUGGCGACACUUUCAGGCUGCUCCCUGCUCAUUCUUAGGUGUGGUUUUUUUGUUAAUGUAAAUUACACAUUUCAUUGUAUGUUUCAUUGUCCAUGUGAUAAGUGAAUCAGAAUCUGAAACAACUUAAAAUUUGUCAAAUUUCAUAUCAUAUUCUGGUGAUAUUAAACCUGAUUCUGAUUUAUUA